Molecule: ribosomal RNA, 1344 nt
Filed under: uncultured bacterium
Lineage: Bacteria
Description: bacterial SSU rRNA
Rfam family: Bacterial small subunit ribosomal RNA
Source: RNAcentral
GAUGAACGCUAGCGGAAGGCCUAACACAUGCAAGUCGAGCGGUAUUUGGUAGCUUGCUGCUAGAGAGAGCGGCGUACGGGUGCGUAACAUGUGUGCAACCUACCCUUAUCAAGGGGAUAGCCAUUCGAAAGGAUGAUUAAUACCCUAUAAUAUAUCAGGUGGCAUCAUUUGAUAUUGAAAGCUACGGUGGAUAAGGAUGGGCACGCACAAGAUUAGCUAGUUGGUAAGGUAACGGCUUACCAAGGCGAUGAUCUUUAGGGGUCCUGAGAGGGAGAUCCCCCACACUGGGACUGAGACACGGCCCAGACUCCUACCGGAGGCAGCAGUGAGGAAUAUUGGACAAUGGGUGGGAGCCUGAUCCAGCCAUUCCGCGUGCAAGAAAAAAGUCUUAUGGAUUGUAAACUGCUUUUAUAUAGGGAUAAAACUACUCUCGAGAGGGUAGCUGAAGGUACUAUAUGAAUAAACACCGGCUAACUCCAUGCCAGCAGCCCCCGUAAUACCGAAGGGUGCAGCGUUUUCCCGACUUUUUGGGUUUAGGGUCCGCAGCGGGUUAUUAAGUCAGUGGUGAAAUCUCAUAGCUCAACUAUGAAACUGCCAUUGAUACUGAUAGUCUUGAGUAUAUUUGAAGUAGCUGGAAUAAGUAGUGUAGCGGUGAAAUGCAUAGAUAUUACUUAGAACACCAAUAGCGAAGGCAGGUUACUAAGAUAUUACUGACGCUGAGGGACGAGAGCGUAGGGAGCGAACAGGAUUAGAUACCCUGGUAGUCUACGCUGUAAACGAUGCUAACUCGUUUUUGGUAUUUAGGUAUCAGAGACUAAGCGAAAGUGAUAAGUUAGCCACCUGGGGAGUACGCUCGCAAGAGUGAAACUCAAAGGAAUUGACGGGGGCCCGCACAAGCGGUGGAUUAUGUGGUUUAAUUCGAUGAUACGCGAGGAACCUUACCAAGACUUAAAUGGGAAUUGACAGCUAUAGAGAUAUGGUUUUCUUCGGACAAUUUUCAAGGUGCUGCAUGGUUGUCGUCAGCUCGUGCCGUGAGGUGUUAGGUUAAGUCCUGCAACGAGCGCAACCCUUGUCACUAGUUGCCAUCAUUAAGUUGGGGACUCUAGUGAGACUGCCUACGCAAGUAGAGAGGAAGGUGGGGAUGACGUCAAAUCAUCACGGCCCUUACGUCUUGGGCCACACACGUAAUACAAUGGGCGAUACAGAGGGCAGCUACACAGCGAUGUGAUGCGAAUCUCGAAAGUCGUUCUCAGUUCGGAUUGGAGUCUGCAACUCGACUCUAUGAAGCUGGAAUCGCUAGUAAUCGCGUAUCAGCCAUGACGCGGUGAAUACGUUCCCGGGCCU